This 492-nucleotide ribosomal RNA is filed under the name uncultured bacterium. RNAcentral describes it as "partial 16S ribosomal RNA". It matches the Rfam family "Bacterial small subunit ribosomal RNA", at positions 29 to 507 of the family's 1533-position model. The record is from RNAcentral.
AGUGAACGCUGGCGGUAGGCCUAACACAUGCAAGUCGAACGGCAGCACAGUAAGAGCUUGCUCCUACGGGUGGCGAGUGGCGGACGGGUGAGGAAUACAUCGGAAUCUACUUUUUCGUGGGGGAUAACGUAGGGAAACUUACGCUAAUACCGCAUACGACCUACGGGUGAAAGCAGGAGAUCUUCGGACCUUGCGUGAUUGAAUGAGCCGAUGUCGGAUUAGCUAGUUGGCGGGGUAAAGGCCCACCAAGGCGACGAUCCGUAGCUGGUCUGAGAGGAUGAUCAGCCACACUGGAACUGAGACACGGUCCAGACUCCUACGGGAGGCAGCAGUGGGGAAUAUUGGACAAUGGGCGCAAGCCUGAUCCAGCCAUACCGCGUGGGUGAAGAAGGCCUUCGGGUUGUAAAGCCCUUUUGUUGGGAAAGAAAAGCAGCAGGUUAAUACCCCGCUGUUCUGACGGUACCCAAAGAAUAAGCACCGGCUAACUUCGUG